CAAGACGACGACGGGUAGCCGGCCUGAGAGGGCGACCGGCCACACUGGGACUGAGACACGGCCCAGACUCCUACGGGAGGCAGCAGUGGGGAAUAUUGCACAAUGGGGGAAACCCUGAUGCAGCGACGCAGCGUGCGGGAUGACGGCCUUCGGGUUGUAAACCGCUUUCAGCAGGGAAGAAGCGCAAGUGACGGUACCUGCAGAAGAAGUACCGGCUAACUACGUGCCAGCAGCCGCGGUAAUACGUAGGGUACGAGCGUUGUCCGGAAUUAUUGGGCGUAAAGAGCUCGUAGGUGGUUGGUCACGUCUGCUGUGGAAACGCAACGCUUAACGUUGCGCGUGCAGUGGGUACGGGCUGACUAGAGUGCAGUAGGGGAGUCUGGAAUUCCUGGUGUAGCGGUGAAAUGCGCAGAUAUCAGGAGGAACACCGGUGGCGAAGGCGGGACUCUGGGCUGUAACUGACACUGAGGAGCGAAAGCAUGGGGAGCGAACAGGAUUAGAUACCCUGGUAGUCCAUGCCGUAAACGUUGGGCACUAGGUGUGGGGGGCAUUCCACGUUCUCCGCGCCGUAGCUAACGCAUUAAGUGCCCCGCUGG
RNAcentral lists this ribosomal RNA (596 nucleotides) under Brevibacterium sp. CMT76. RNAcentral describes it as "bacterial SSU rRNA". It matches the Rfam family "Bacterial small subunit ribosomal RNA", at positions 269 to 873 of the family's 1533-position model. The record is from RNAcentral. Lineage: Bacteria; Bacillati; Actinomycetota; Actinomycetes; Micrococcales; Brevibacteriaceae.